UCGAGGGGAAACGACAUCGAAAGCUUGCUUUUGAUGGGCGUCGACCGGCGCACGGGUGAGUAACGCGUAUCCAACCUGCCACCACUUGGGGAUAACCUUGCGAAAGUAAGACUAAUACCCAAUGAUAUCUCUAGAAGACAUCUGAAAGAGAUUAAAGAUUUAUCGGUGAUGGAUGGGGAUGCGUCUGAUUAGCUAGUUGGUAAGGUAACGGCCCACCAAACCGACGAUGGAUAGGGGUUCUGAGAGGAAGGUCCCCACAUUGGUACUGAGACACGGACCAAACUCC
RNAcentral lists this ribosomal RNA (286 nucleotides) under uncultured Prevotella sp. RNAcentral's name for it is "partial 16S ribosomal RNA". It matches the Rfam family "Bacterial small subunit ribosomal RNA", at positions 62 to 339 of the family's 1533-position model. Lineage: Bacteria; Pseudomonadati; Bacteroidota; Bacteroidia; Bacteroidales; Prevotellaceae. The record is from RNAcentral.